UAACCAAUCAAGCCUAGCUUGGUAUUAGAGCUUGCUGUGCCAGCAACUCCUAAAAUCAGUGGCAGCGCCGUUGGGUUCUAAGCGUAGUAAGUCUCCUCGCUAUAGAGUCUCUGCGGUGGCUUGCCAGGACCCCUAUUUCUCAC
This 143-nucleotide unclassified non-coding RNA is filed under the name uncultured Helotiales. RNAcentral describes it as "sequence contains ITS2". The record is from RNAcentral. Lineage: Eukaryota; Fungi; Ascomycota; Leotiomycetes; Helotiales.